This 266-nucleotide ribosomal RNA is filed under the name Clostridioides difficile. RNAcentral's name for it is "partial 16S ribosomal RNA". It matches the Rfam family "Bacterial small subunit ribosomal RNA", at positions 1277 to 1533 of the family's 1533-position model. Lineage: Bacteria; Bacillati; Bacillota; Clostridia; Peptostreptococcales; Peptostreptococcaceae. The record is from RNAcentral.
UAAAGCUACUCUCAGUUCGGAUUGUAGGCUGAAACUCGCCUACAUGAAGCUGGAGUUACUAGUAAUCGCAGAUCAGAAUGCUGCGGUGAAUGCGUUCCCGGGUCUUGUACACACCGCCCGUCACACCCCGGGAGUUGGAGACGCCCGAAGCCGAUUAUCUAACCUUUUGGAAGAAGUCGUCGAAGGUGGAAUCAAUAACUGGGGUGAAGUCGUAACAAGGUAGCCGUAUCGGAAGGUGCGGCUGGAUCACCUCCUUUCUAAGGAGA